GAUUAUAAAAUCAUCAUACUAAACUUGAAGUCUUCACUACUUCAUUCUUGAAAUCUGUAAAAGAAAUUGGAGAAAUUAAGGACUUGGAAAAGAGGCUGUUUUGUGCCUAUAAUUCUAAGGCUAUCAGGGAAAAUAACUUGGAACGAGAAGGUUGACUAGCACAUCCAUUUGAUUAUUAAUUUUAUGGGGCGGGAAGGCCAACAAAUAUAACCUCAUGAAAUAGUCGCUCAAUAUGGCUCGGAAACUACAAUAAAAAUAAUAUGUGUAAUCUUGGCACCCCAAAUAACAGUAGAGGAAAAUUCGAGGGCUCUCCCUUAAACUUAAUCCGUCUUAUUCAAUCUAUCAAAUGGUAUAUGUAACUUUACAUCGCCGCUCUCCUUGAGAUAUUACCCCAUGGACGACCUAAAUACGUUGUAACAUUUGCCCCAACUAUGGAGUUGCUUUUAUGGUGCAAUUUGUAGCACCUUUACCUGAAGAGAGAGCCUGAGGAAAGAUCAACUUGAAUGGUUCUAAAAGCUGCACCAUACAAGCAAGUCUAUAGUUGGGGAAAGUGAGUAAGAAUGUUAGCGACAUAUUUAGGUCGACAAGGGGUAAUUCUCUUGGACAAUGGCAAUGUUGAGUUACAUUGACUAUCUGAUAGAUUGAAAAGAAUGUAUUUAGUUUAAUGGAGAGUCCUAAGUAAGUUCCUUGAAUUCUGAUAUUUUUUUUGAUAUUGUUGUUUAGGGCUGCCGAGAUUGCACCUGUUAUUGAGUUGAAGUUUCCCGAGCCAUCUUGUGCUACUAUGGCAGGAGGUGCUUGUGUUUGUUGGCAUUCUCCACAGCAUAAAAUUGUUAACCAAAUGACAGAGUAAUUAAAGACUUCCAGCUCGGGAAAGGAGGGGAACUUCUGUGACCUGAACUUAGGAAGGAAGAAGAAGGAAAAUCAGAGAUCAUUAUUAGUGAUUGCUAAAGGUGAAGCUAUUAUGAUACACUUAUAAAAAAUCAUUUUAGUUUGAAAAGACUACUCUCAUGAAUGGGCUCCAAUGCAAAUGUUGCGCCAACAUACCCCAAUGUGGCAUCACUAUUGCUUCCAAGG
Lycium ferocissimum is the source of this 1074-nucleotide long non-coding RNA. RefSeq lists it as uncharacterized. NCBI's taxonomy places the organism in Eukaryota, Viridiplantae, Streptophyta, Magnoliopsida, Solanales, Solanaceae. The transcript is spliced from 2 exons. The record is from RefSeq and is a predicted model, not a curated record.